AGGUCAGCGAACGGCCGGGGCCAUACCUCUGAGGUGCCUGUGUGUUGGUGUUGCCUAGGGCAGCCCUGGAGGGGCUGGCCUCCCGCUCACAGGCGUGCUUAUCACGUAAGUGGGUGCUGUUUCCUGGCAGCUGAGGGUAAUUAUGGGGCUGCGUGCUGGAGGACGGGUCUGCGCAUGUGUCUCUCUCAGGGCUGGUGGCCCCGGCUGGGGCAGCCGAGUAAGGAGCGGUGCCGUCAGCUGCUCACUGAGACGUGAAGCGCUGGGACUCGGGGCAGGGCUGCAGCCGGACGCCUGGGAGGAAAAUGCCAAGUGUGUUUGAGGAGACAUUUCCCCCUCGCAGGGCCAGCGGGCCAAUGCCAUUUGUGGGCGGUCCUGGCAACAGUGAGUUCUAGUCUCCAGCCAUAUGCUCUGUCCCCAGAUCCCAGCGUCCUGGUGGCCCCUGUUCCUGCCCUUGUCCCUUUUGCUUUGUUCUCUCUCCCCAGUCCCACUGCACUUCGCUUUAUCCUUCUUGCUCUGCCUCCACUCACCAGCUCCGGCCUCCUCCUGUCCAGGGACUCUCCUAGGCUGCUCCUAUAUGCCUCAUUCCAGUCCUCCUGUUUCAUUUCUGGGACAGCCCCAAUAGUGAGUUGACUUGUCCCCCUAAAUUCACGUCCACCUAGAACCCCAGAAUGGGACCUUGUUUAGAAAUAGGCUCUUUGCAGAUGUAAUGAAGUCAAUAUGAGGUGGCUAGGGUGGCCCAAAUCCAGCACUGCUGUGUCCUUAUGAAAAGAAGGGAAUCUGAACUCAGAGACAAGGACACACAGGGACGACAUUGCAGUGUUGCAGCUGGAAGCCAAGGACUCUGAGGACCGGGCAGCCACCAGGAGCUGGAAGAGGCAGGAAGGAUGGUCCUCUUGACCUUCAGAGGGAGUGCAGCCUUGCCGACACCUGGAUUUUGGACAUCCAGUACCCAGAACUGUGAGAAGCGGUUUCUGCCGUUUAAGCACCCCUGGGAGUGAUGCUUUGUUACAGCAGCCCCAGGACGCUUACCCAGGCCUCUUUGCUCAGCUGGACCCCAGAACAGGAGGAGAAACCACAGCUGACCCCGCGUUGGGGGUGCCUCCAAGCUGCAACAGGCCACCCCUGCAAUCCAGUUCUGCCUGCAAAAGCCCCAGCUCACGCACGUUUUCUGGGAUGAUAGUCUUCAGUAUUCCAAGGGAUUUCUUUGAGCGCGCCAGACUCCAAGUCCCAGCCUCACACUUGACAAGGGAUGCAAUCAACAGUUGACUGUCGACAGCAUUUUCAGAUCAGUCGGGCACAGAGGGGGCGGUGGACAAGAGCAGGCAGACAAGAGCAGGUUACUGCAACAGUCCAGACUCAGGCCAUCGCCGCCUGAAUCAGGUGAUGAAUUCCAGGACAGUGGAGCUGGGUCACUCUGCAGAAAGCAGAGGAAAGGGGAGAAGUCCCGCGGCAGCUCUCCUGGGAGGCCUGAGGAAGGAUAGCCAAUGCAGAGAUGGAUGCAGGUUGGGAAAGCAGCAGAGCCAAAAGGAAGACAGGUCAGCAGCAGCAGCAGCCAGAAGAUGGAUGGAGUGACAGCCGUGGACACGCACACGCGCACACGUGCAGACAGCCGGCAAGCUAGACCAUUGACCACGUCUGGGCAGAGAAAGCGAGCGCGGGGCUGCAGCGG
Molecule: long non-coding RNA, 1669 nt
Organism: Hipposideros armiger (great roundleaf bat)
Lineage: Eukaryota; Metazoa; Chordata; Mammalia; Chiroptera; Hipposideridae
Exons: 3
Source: RefSeq, a predicted model, not a curated record